GGGGAAUAUUGCACAAUGGGCGCAAGCCUGAUGCAGCGACGCCGCGUGAGGGAUGACGGCCUUCGGGUUGUAAACCUCUUUCAAUAGGGACGAAGCGCAAGUGACGGUACCUAUAGAAGAAGGACCGGCCAACUACGUGCCAGCAGCCGCGGUAAUACGUAGGGUCCGAGCGUUGUCCGGAAUUACUGGGCGUAAAGAGCUCGUAGGUGGUUUGUCGCGUUGUUCGUGAAAACUCACAGCUUAACUGUGGGCGUGCGGGCGAUACGGGCAGACUAGAGUACUGCAGGGGAGACUGGAAUUCCUGGUGUAGCGGUGGAAUGCGCAGAUAUCAGGAGGAACACCGGUGGCGAAGGCGGGUCUCUGGGCAGUAACUGACGCUGAGGAGCGAAAGCGUGGGGAGCGAAC
RNAcentral lists this ribosomal RNA (405 nucleotides) under uncultured bacterium. RNAcentral's name for it is "bacterial SSU rRNA". It matches the Rfam family "Bacterial small subunit ribosomal RNA", at positions 356 to 773 of the family's 1533-position model. The record is from RNAcentral.